CAACGGGAUCACGUGAGCGCAUCAUUUGUGUAUAAAAACUUUUUGCAGUCUCUGUUAUGAUUUUCAAGAUGGCGACUGUCAAUGUCUGGAGUAUGAAGUUGCUCUUUUCUCUUUUAAAAAUGCAUUUAGCUUUAUGAAAAAUCUACUGCAAAGUUAUAAUGGCGGCUUCAAGGUUCUGAUAGGUUAUUGCAACUUCUCUUGUUUCUCCAGAGUGUUCUUCAGGAAAUAUUCAAGAAAAACCAGUUUGCCAUGGUACGACUUUUGCGUACCUCUCAGGAGAAUAGACUACAUUCUAUUGCUAAGAAACUACAAUAAAGAGACCCUUUACAUGUUUUUACAUUGUUUAAAGUUGUUUUUGAAUUUUUCCUGUUGCUGGUUUUUUAGUUAUAACAAUUUACAUUCAGCCAUUUUGCUAA
This 416-nucleotide long non-coding RNA is filed under the name Amphimedon queenslandica. RNAcentral describes it as "uncharacterized LOC109587278". The record is from RNAcentral. Lineage: Eukaryota; Metazoa; Porifera; Demospongiae; Haplosclerida; Niphatidae.